This is a long non-coding RNA of Pan troglodytes (chimpanzee), 447 nucleotides long. NCBI's taxonomy places the organism in Eukaryota, Metazoa, Chordata, Mammalia, Primates, Hominidae. The record is from Ensembl.
UGGGGAAGGGUAGGGUUGGGACAAAAGUCGGGGGCCCUCUUCCCUCACGGCCGCUCUUUCAGGUAUCUGGAGCAACCUGUAUGCAGCCAACCUCCAGGACAGCUUAUACUGGGCCUCAGAGCCCAGCCAGUUCUGGGACCGCUGGGUCAGGAACCAGGCCAACCUGGACAAGGAGCAGGUCCCCCUUCUGAAGAUAGAAGAACCACCCUCAACAGCCGGCAGGAUAGCUGAGUUUUUCACCGAUCUUCUGACGUGGCAUCCACUGGCCCAGGCCACACAUAAUUUCCUGCGUGGCCUCCAUUUCCACAGAGACUACUUUCAGCAUCGUCACUUCUCUACAUGGAAAGCUACCACUCUGGAUGGGCUCCCCAACCAGCUGACACCCUCGGAGCCCCACCUGUGCCUGCUGGAUGUUGGCUACCUCCUCAAUACCAGCUGCCUGCCCCU